Molecule: ribosomal RNA, 383 nt
Filed under: Streptomyces sp. UMAF16
Lineage: Bacteria; Bacillati; Actinomycetota; Actinomycetes; Kitasatosporales; Streptomycetaceae
Description: partial 23S ribosomal RNA
Rfam family: Bacterial large subunit ribosomal RNA
Source: RNAcentral
GAGGCAGACAAGCCGAGCAGGUGCGAAAGCAGGCUAAAGUGAUCCGGUGGUUCUGUAUGGAAGGGCCAUCGCUCAAAGGAUAAAAGGUACUCCGGGGAUAACAGGCUGAUCUUACCCAAGAGCUCAUAUCGACGGUAAGGUUUGGCACCUCGAUGUCGGUUCGUCACAUCCUGGGGCUGGAGAAGGUCCCAAGGGUUCGGCUGUUCGCCGAUUAAAGUGGCACGUGAACUGGGUUCAGAACGUCGCAAGACAGUUCGGUCCCUAUCUGUGGUGGGCGUUAGUAAAUUGAGUGGACGUGACCUUAGUACGAGAGGACCGGGUUGCAUGUACCGCUGGUGUAUCAGUUGUGCCGCCAGGUGCAAUGCUGAGUAGCUAUGUACAGU